This 449-nucleotide ribosomal RNA is filed under the name uncultured bacterium. RNAcentral describes it as "partial 16S ribosomal RNA". It matches the Rfam family "Bacterial small subunit ribosomal RNA", at positions 29 to 523 of the family's 1533-position model. The record is from RNAcentral.
AACGAACGCUGGCGGCAUGCCUAACACAUGCAAGUCGAACGAGAUCUUCGGGUCUAGUGGCGCACGGGUGCGUAACGCGUGGGAAUCUGCCCUUUGGUUCGGAAUAACAGUUGGAAACGACUGCUAAUACCGGAUGAUGACGAAAGUCCAAAGAUUUAUCGCCAGAGGAUGAGCCCGCGUAGGAUUAGCUAGUUGGUGUGGUAAAGGCGCACGAAGGCGACGAUCCUUAGCUGGUCUGAGAGGAUGAUCAGCCACACUGGGACUGAGGCACGGCCCAGACUCCUACGGGAGGCAGCAGUGGGGAAUAUUGGACAAUGGGCGAAAGCCUGAUCCAGCAAUGCCGCGUGAGUGAUGAAGGCCUUAGGGUUGUAAAGCUCUUUUACCCGGGAUGAUAAUGACAGUACCGGGAGAAUAAGCUCCGGCUAACUCCGUGCCAGCAGCCGCGGUAA